AUGAACGCUAGCGACAGGCUUAACACAUGCAAGUCGAGGGGCAGCGGGGGUAGCGAUACCCGCCGGCGACCGGCGCACGGGUGAGUAACGCGUAUGCAACUUGCCUAUCAGAGGGGGAUAACCCGGCGAAAGUCGGACUAAUACCGCAUGAAGCAGGGGCCCCGCAUGGGGAUAUUUGCUAAAGAUUCAUCGCUGAUAGAUAGGCAUGCGUUCCAUUAGGCAGUUGGCGGGGUAACGGCCCACCAAACCGACGAUGGAUAGGGGUUCUGAGAGGAAGGUCCCCCACAUUGGUACUGAGACACGGACCAAACUCCUACGGGAGGCAGCAGUGAGGAAUAUUGGUCAAUGGCCGAGAGGCUGAACCAGCCAAGUCGCGUGAGGGAUGAAGGUUCUAUGGAUCGUAAACCUCUUUUAUAAGGGAAUAAAGUGCGGGACGUGUCCCGUUUUGUAUGUACCUUAUGAAUAAGGAUCGGCUAACUCCGUGCCAGCAGCCGCGGUAAUACGGAGGAUCCGAGCGUUAUCCGGAUUUAUUGGGUUUAAAGGGUGCGUAGGCGGCCUUUUAAGUCAGCGGUGAAAGUCUGUGGCUCAACCAUAGAAUUGCCGUUGAAACUGGGGGGCUUGAGUAUGUUUGAGGCAGGCGGAAUGCGUGGUGUAGCGGUGAAAUGCAUAGAUAUCACGCAGAACCCCGAUUGCGAAGGCAGCCUGCCAAGCCAUUACUGACGCUGAUGCACGAAAGCGUGGGGAUCAAACAGGAUUAGAUACCCUGGUAGUCCACGCAGUAAACGAUGAUCACUAGCUGUUUGCGAUACACUGUAAGCGGCACAGCGAAAGCGUUAAGUGAUCCACCUGGGGAGUACGCCGGCAACGGUGAAACUCAAAGGAAUUGACGGGGGCCCGCACAAGCGGAGGAACAUGUGGUUUAAUUCGAUGAUACGCGAGGAACCUUACCCGGGUUUGAACGCAUUCGGACCGAGGUGGAAACACCUUUUCUAGCAAUAGCCGUUUGCGAGGUGCUGCAUGGUUGUCGUCAGCUCGUGCCGUGAGGUGUCGGCUUAAGUGCCAUAACGAGCGCAACCCUUGCCACUAGUUACUAACAGGUAAAGCUGAGGACUCUGGUGGGACUGCCAGCGUAAGCUGCGAGGAAGGCGGGGAUGACGUCAAAUCAGCACGGCCCUUACAUCCGGGGCGACACACGUGUUACAAUGGCGUGGACAAAGGGAAGCCACCUGGCGACAGGGAGCGAAUCCCCAAACCACGUCUCAGUUCGGAUCGGAGUCUGCAACCCGACUCCGUGAAGCUGGAUUCGCUAGUAAUCGCGCAUCAGCCAUGGCGCGGUGAAUACGUUCCCGGGCCUUGUACACACCGCCCGUCAAGCCAUGGGAGCCGGGGGUACCUGAAGUCCGUAACCGCGAGGAUCGGCCUAGGGUAAAACUGG
RNAcentral lists this ribosomal RNA (1435 nucleotides) under uncultured organism. Its description in RNAcentral is "16S ribosomal RNA". It matches the Rfam family "Bacterial small subunit ribosomal RNA". The record is from RNAcentral.